Molecule: long non-coding RNA, 2020 nt
Filed under: Heterocephalus glaber (naked mole-rat)
Lineage: Eukaryota; Metazoa; Chordata; Mammalia; Rodentia; Bathyergidae
Description: lncRNA (ENSHGLG00100042158.1)
Source: RNAcentral
AGACUUCCCUCUAAAAUGCUCUCCCGCUCAGUGUGGAGCUCCGAGAGGCUAGCUGGAGUCUGUGUGCGACCUGGAAGGUUUGGAGCCAGCAUGAUUUAACUCAUUUGGUGGCAGCUGACCGGAGACUCUGGGGCCUAGCAGGAGAUGUUCAGGGGUGGACUUGCCGUGCCACGGAAUGAAAGCAAGCCUGGCCCCCUUCUCACUGAUUGAAAGACGGAGCCACUGACAGCCAUCUCCAGCAGCUUCCUUGCUGGCGGGCCUUCUCGGACCACCACCCUGAGGGCCUGUGAGCUCAUCCCUCAGGCUGCCCUGCUCUUUAGACAUUUUUGUACGUCCCACCCUCCUCCCCCUUGCUUGCAGCUUUUGCUGUUUGGGGCACACCCGUGAUAUGCAGUGCAGUUCGGCAUCACACUUCUCAUUCCCUGUGGGAGAUCAUGAAUGUUAUCCUCACCAAGUACUACCUGGGUUCCUCCAUUAACAGCAAUGAAAAUAAUUUGGGAGAACAUAAGCCCAUCGAAUGCUGUUGCUGUCCUAUGCAUUGCACCAAAUGAGGAGAAGCCCGGUGAGCUCCAUCGUUUGUCACACGGAAGCAUAACACAGUAGCGGGGUUGCCGGCAUCUGGAGUUGGUGGCAGUAGACGGUGUGGCAGCAACCAGGGCACUGAGACCUGGGACCAGGGCGCACAUUUCACGGGUCUCUGUGCAGGUGAUUUGGCUGGGUUUUCCUUUAGCUUGAGGGCUUCGGGAGGGAGCAGCUGCGUGCAUCUUCUCCACAGGGAACCCCGGGGACCUGUGCUUGGCACAGGUAACCUGCCUAAGGCUGACUGAGGAGGACCUAACUCCGGCCCUGUGACCUCCUGGGGUGGCAGCAGCUCGGAGGCGGCUCCUCCCUAAUUCACAGGGAAGUGCUGCAGGCCGAGGUUGCUUCCGGACUGCGGACUGCGCUUGAGAGGCUGGACGUGGAACAGUGUCCUCUCUGUCCUCCUGAGUGUUAGAAAUCCUUCGAGGCCCUAGUUUGAUUUAUCUGACAGCUGCACUCUGUCUUCACAUGGACUGUCAGGAGGCUUAGAAUUGGGUCGGAGCCACAAGUUUCCUGGCCUCUUUGAGUAUGGUUGUGACACCUUGCAAACUGAUGAAUUUGAGGACACAGCGCUGCCUCGACUGAGUCCGCCUACUUUGGGGGUUUUAGAAGUUCAGAUUCAUUCCACAAAUUUGACUGAAGAUGCUGCUGUGUGCCAGGCACAUGGCCAGGGUGACAGGCGGGGCUCCCAUGCUGAUUAGGGAGCAGGCACAGGCAUCUCUAGGUGAACAACUAAGCAAGGUGACUGCAGCUGGGACAAGUGCCAGACAAGAAGGAAGCACGAUGCUGGCCUGGAGUUGGGGUGUGUUGGGGGAGGGGGUUCUUCAGGCAGAGAGAGCAGGGAAGUCAGCGAACAGAGUUAAUUCACACGGUGCAAAUUAAGCCUUCAUCUUGGUGCCUGACACACAGUAAAGCCCUAACUCGCUAUCACUGCUACGGCUGUUAUUGGUGUCGUCAUCUCUCCGUUAUGUGUGCUUCUGCUGGGCGGAAGGCAAGGGGGGAAUACAUUGCCGGAAUUCCAGGAAACGAUGAAGACUUUGCAAAGGUCCCAGCAGUGGAGGGGUGGAGAACUCCAUGCCCUAAGGUGUCUCCUCUCUUCCUUCUCUGGCGGUACCGAGGGGCUUGGUGGUCCAUCGUACGUGGGCACUCUCUGUCCAAACCAGCAUCUCCAAGCCUUAAUUUGCUGCAACGGCCCAAGAUUUAAACGUCUACAUUUUCCUGGUUGGUAUUGUAGUGCAAAUAUCGAUUCCUUUCUGUGCAAGUCCUGACUUCACGUGGGGGCAGUGACUAGUGAACGGCCCGUCCUCGCGGAGUAAAUAUGCCGUGUACAGCAGUCGUUGAACGAUUACCGUGCAGCCCAGCUGUCUUAACGCUAAGAGUGCCCGCUUUGCUUCUGGGAUGGUCACGUGUGUGAGUGGAGUGGCUUCAGAAACAGGGGCUU